RNAcentral lists this non-coding RNA (22 nucleotides) under Arabidopsis thaliana (thale cress). The record is from RNAcentral. Lineage: Eukaryota; Viridiplantae; Streptophyta; Magnoliopsida; Brassicales; Brassicaceae.
CACAAUCUAGCCUAGUGACUUU